RNAcentral lists this ribosomal RNA (492 nucleotides) under uncultured bacterium. RNAcentral describes it as "partial 16S ribosomal RNA". It matches the Rfam family "Bacterial small subunit ribosomal RNA", at positions 29 to 507 of the family's 1533-position model. The record is from RNAcentral.
AGUGAACGCUGGCGGUAGGCCUAACACAUGCAAGUCGAACGGCAGCACAGUAAGAGCUUGCUCUUACGGGUGGCGAGUGACGGACGGGUGAGGAAUACAUCGGAAUCUACUUUUUCGUGGGGGAUAACGUAGGGAAACUUACGCUAAUACCGCAUACGACCUACGGGUGAAAGCAGGGGAUCUUCGGACCUUGCGCGAUUGAAUGAGCCGAUGUCGGAUUAGCUAGUUGGCGGGGUAAAGGCCCACCAAGGCGACGAUCCGUAGCUGGUCUGAGAGGAUGAUCAGCCACACUGGAACUGAGACACGGUCCAGACUCCUACGGGAGGCAGCAGUGGGGAAUAUUGGACAAUGGGCGCAAGCCUGAUCCAGCCAUACCGCGUGGGUGAAGAAGGCCUUCGGGUUGUAAAGCCCUUUUGUUGGGAAAGAAAAGCAGCAGGCUAAUACCCCGCUGUCCUGACGGUACCCAAAGAAUAAGCACCGGCUAACUUCGUG